RNAcentral lists this long non-coding RNA (304 nucleotides) under Equus asinus (donkey). RNAcentral describes it as "lncRNA (ENSEASG00005033472.1)". Lineage: Eukaryota; Metazoa; Chordata; Mammalia; Perissodactyla; Equidae. The record is from RNAcentral.
CUGGAAGGCGAGCCCCUGCUCGGUACCCUCAGGGAAGCAGAGACACCCUGUGCGCCAAGCCUUGACCUGGCGCCCAGCUGGCCCUAUCCAUGGGUGGGCCUGCUCCCUGGACCCCCACGCAGCCCUGCGCCUGAAACCGUGAGCUGCAGAGGUGGCGCCAGAAGAUUGCCAGCACUGCUGCUGGGGACUGAUAGCAUGCCCGCCGCACAGGGCGAGUCUGAACCAGGUAUCUGUGCUUAGCUUCUUCCCCGUCGCCUCUGCCACGCCUCACCCCGGCACUGGGACCUCAGGUAGCCACCUGCCC